Long non-coding RNA from Homo sapiens (human), 579 nucleotides. The record is from Ensembl. Lineage: Eukaryota; Metazoa; Chordata; Mammalia; Primates; Hominidae.
GGAUUUUGUCUGGAAGUCCUCUUUGAGCAAAGACAUGGAGUCCACAUGAGCAAAGACAUGGAGGAGAAAAACGGCAUGGCACGAAGGGAACUGCAGGAAGCCAAGCCCAGAGUCUGCUAAAAAUGUAGCUGUUUUGUUUAGGAGGGAAAAGCAAAGAGAAGAUGCGAUGAAGCCACAGAGCAGGAAGAGGCCUCGGUUGCUGUCCUGACCAGUCCUCUCACUUCACCAUCAAGGCCAUGAAACCCAGAGAAGGGAUGUGACUUGAGAUCCAGCCAGACCCAGAUCCAGAGUUGGGAGGGCAGGGGUGCUGCAAUAUGAUCACAGAAUCGACACUCGACCCCUCCCAGCGACCUGGCAAAGUGGGCACUAACUCCAUUCUGCAGAGGUGGAAACUGAGGCCAGUGUGGGGAAUGGAAAUUGACUGGGCUAAGCUUAGAAGCCUGAACUCUGACCCCAAAGCUCUCUCUUGUACCUUUGACCCCCUUGUCUUGUCCUGCAGCUCUUAAGGUUACAGUGAGCCAGUUUUUCAUUUUGCCUUUCUCCAAUGGAGGCACCUUGGAAAAUAGAGAUCUGGCUGGA